This 309-nucleotide ribosomal RNA is filed under the name uncultured Glomus. RNAcentral describes it as "SSU rRNA". It matches the Rfam family "Eukaryotic small subunit ribosomal RNA", at positions 790 to 1092 of the family's 1831-position model. The record is from RNAcentral. Lineage: Eukaryota; Fungi; Glomeromycota; Glomeromycetes; Glomerales; Glomeraceae.
AACGCUUGAAUACAUUAGCAUGGAAUAAUGAAAUAGGACGUUCGAUCCUAUUUGUUGGUUUCUUAGGAUUGACGUAAUGAUUAAUAGGGAUAGUUGGGGGCAUUAGUAUUCAAUUGUCAGAGGUGAAAUUCUUGGAUUUAUUGAAGACUAACUACUGCGAAAAGCAUUUUGCCAAGGAUGUUUUCAUUAAUCAAGAACGAAAGUUAGGGGAUCGAAGACGAUCAGAUACCGUCGUAGUCUUAACCAUAAACUAUGCCGACUAGGGAUCGGAUGAUGUUAAUUUUUUAAUGACUCAUUCGGCGCCUUACG